Non-coding RNA from Triticum urartu, 895 nucleotides. Lineage: Eukaryota; Viridiplantae; Streptophyta; Magnoliopsida; Poales; Poaceae. The record is from RefSeq and is a predicted model, not a curated record.
GUUACGCUAGCGCUAGCCAGCAAUCGGUACCGGCUGCUCAUUUUCUUUUCCUUCGUCUGGAGUCUGGACGGUUGGUCUCUAAUCUCUUCGUCCUGCCUGCCGCUCGGCGCUCGGCGCCUUGCCGUCUCGGCCGCCGCCGGCUUGCCGCUGCGCGCGCCGCAUAGCAGUCCGGUAACCCAAAGUCUGCAGCGAGCCAACGAGGACAUUAUCCUGCCAUGUUGCCUAAGAAGAAGAUGUUGGUGCUGAAAAAAGGAGAAGAAAAAAAGAAAGUAUUAUUGCAUCAAGAAACGUCCGAAGAAACUUUUUUUGAAGCACUGAAGUAUUAUUGUUGUCGAUGGAGUCAGUUGAAUUUGGUUCUUAUUUGAGGUAGCGGGUACCCAUUGCCAUGUUGAGUAACAUAACAAAUCUGAAGGCAAAUCGAGUCUACAUCUACAAAUGAAGACUUACAUGAUACUACACAUAUGUUACUACACAUUGUGAAGGUGUAACAUAGACUAGUGUCAUACAUAUGAUACUACUCUAAAUUACUCCCCACCAUGACUAGUCGGGCGUAAGCAAAAUGCCUACCAAUCAAUGCAUGAAGGAAUUUAAUUGUUAAAAAAUUAUACGAGGGAAGCAUAGCAUCAAAAGCUAAGAAACUAUGCAUUGGGAAGAUUAGUUGCUAAGGUUUUUAAUGUACUUAAUGCAUCUACAACCAAACUUAGCAAAUUUACCCCAUUAAAUAUCCGCGGACACGCCCAGUCAGUGUCCGGGCAUGUCCAUUUUGGGCCCUUAUUUUUCAAGAACCCAUAGUCAAUAUAAACCCCCCUUGUGGACAUAUGUAACCAUUCACUAUCCUUUCUACCAACUUAAGAGGAGAUGUACUUCCUCCGAGAGAACUGAUACAUCUUGAACG